Molecule: non-coding RNA, 69 nt
Organism: Ictidomys tridecemlineatus (thirteen-lined ground squirrel)
Lineage: Eukaryota; Metazoa; Chordata; Mammalia; Rodentia; Sciuridae
Source: Rfam
GGUGUUGUAGCUCAGUGGUGUAGUACUUGCCUCACAUGCAUGAGGCACAGGUUUCAAUCCUCAACACCA